AGACGGCCCCUCCUUUCUUUUUGAUGACAAGAAGAGGGGGGACGACUUCUUUUCUUUCACGAAAGAGGAGAGAGGGUGCGGCAUCUAAUUUGGGGCAUGGGUUUCUCAUGGUGAGAGGGAGAUGUGGUGUGGAGAAACUUAAAUAGAUACGUAGUGUUGAGUUGGUUAAGUCCUAUUUCAAAUAAAACUCAUGAAUCUUAUUCCAACUUUAACUAAUUCUUGAAUCUAAUCCUAGCUAACUUAGGAAUUAGUUAUAACAA
Molecule: long non-coding RNA, 260 nt
Filed under: Elaeis guineensis (African oil palm)
Lineage: Eukaryota; Viridiplantae; Streptophyta; Magnoliopsida; Arecales; Arecaceae
Description: long non-coding RNA (EGUI_LNC047754)
Source: RNAcentral